GCGCAUUANCUAGUUGGUGGGGUAACGGCUACCAAGGCGACGAUGCGUAGCCGACCUGAGAGGGUGAACGGCCACACUGGGACUGAUACACGGCCCAGACUCCUACGGGAGGCAGCAGUANGGAAUCUUCCGCAAUGGGCGAAAGCCUGACGGAGCAACGCCGCGUGAGUGAUGAAGGUUUUCGGAUCGUAAAGCUCUGUUGCCAGGGAAGAACGUCCAGGUUAGAGUAACUGUCUACCGGAGUGACGGUACCUGAGAAGAAAGCCCCGGUNUAAUCUACGUGCCAGCAGCCGCGGUAAUACGUAUGGUGGUGCAAUGCGUUGUCCGGAAUUAUGAGGCGUAAAGCGCGCGCAGGCUGCUGCUUAAUUCUGGUGUUUAAACCUUGGGCUCAACCUGNGCGUCGCACUGGCACAUAUCUGGGCAGCUUGCAUGUUACAAGACAGAGGACCCGCUGGAAUUCCAUCGUGUANGNGGUGAAAUGCGUAGAGAUGUGGANGAACACCAGUGGCGAAGGCGACUUUCUGGGCUGUAACUGACGCUAGGCGCUGAAAUGCGUGGGGAGCAAACCGGAUUAUGAUACCCUGNCUAGCUCCACGCCGUAAACGAUAGAGGUGCUAGGGUGUUAGGGGGGUUUCGACUACCCCUUUGUGCCCGACAGUUUACACACGAGUAAAGCNACUCCGCCCUGGGGAGCUACGGGUCGGAAGACUGAACAACUCCAAGGACCUGACGGGGACCGGAUAAAGCAGUGGGGGUAUGUGGGUCUAAAUUCGAAGCAACGCGAAGAACCCUUACCAGGUCNUGACAUCCAGCGUAACGAANGCAGAGCANUCAUUAUAGUGCCUCGGGGAAAGU
RNAcentral lists this ribosomal RNA (855 nucleotides) under Paenibacillus sp. SBR5. Its description in RNAcentral is "bacterial SSU rRNA". It matches the Rfam family "Bacterial small subunit ribosomal RNA", at positions 236 to 1038 of the family's 1533-position model. Lineage: Bacteria; Bacillati; Bacillota; Bacilli; Caryophanales; Paenibacillaceae. The record is from RNAcentral.